This 266-nucleotide ribosomal RNA is filed under the name uncultured bacterium. RNAcentral describes it as "partial 16S ribosomal RNA". It matches the Rfam family "Bacterial small subunit ribosomal RNA", at positions 793 to 1055 of the family's 1533-position model. The record is from RNAcentral.
GUCCACGCCCUAAACGAUGUCAACUAGUUGUUGGUAGAGUAAAAUCUAUGAGUAACGCAGCUAACGCGUGAAGUUGACCGCCUGGGGAGUACGAUCGCAAGAUUAAAACUCAAAUGAAUUGACGUGGGCCCCGCACAAGCGGUGGAUUAUGUGGAUUAAUUCGAUGCAACGCGAAAACCUUACCUGGCCUUGACAUGUACCUAAUUUGGGAGAGAUUCCUUAGUGCUCGAAAGAGAACGGUAACACAGGUGCUGCAUGGCUGUCGU